GAGUUUGAUCCUGGCUCAGAACGUACGCUGGCGGCACGCCUAACACAUGCAAGUCGAACGAAGUAGCAAUACUUAGUGGCAGACGGGUGAUUAACAUGUGGGUAUCUGCCCUUUGGCCUGGAAUAACACGAGGAAACUUGUGCUAAUACCGGAUAAGUCUUUACGGAGAAAGCUUUAUGCACCAUUGGAUGAGCCCGCACUUGAUUAGUUUGUUGGUGGGGUAAUGGCCUACCAAGACUGUGAUCAAUAGCUGAUUUGAGAGGAUGAUCAGCCACAUUGGGACUGAGACACGGCCCAAACUCCUACGGGAGGCAGCAGUGGGGAAUCUUGCACAAUGGAGGAAACUCUGAUGCAGCGAUGCCGCGUGAGUGAAGAAGGCCUUUGGGUUGUAAAGCUCUUUCGUCGGGGAAGAAAAUGACUGUACCCGAAUAAGAAGGUCCGGCUAACUUCGUGCCAGCAGCCGCGGUAAUACGAAGGGACCUAGCGUAGUUCGGAAUUACUGGGCUUAAAGAGUUCGUAGGUGGUUGAAAAAGUUGGUGGUGAAAUCCCAGAGCUUAACUCUGGAACUGCCAUCAAAACUUUUUAGCUAGAGUAUGAUAGAGGAAAGCAGAAUUUCUAGUGUAGAGGUGAAAUUCGUAGAUAUUAGAAAGAAUACCAAUUGCGAAGGCAGCUUUCUGGAUCAUUACUGACACUGAGGAACGAAAGCAUGGGUAGCGAAGAGGAUUAGAUACCCUCGUAGUCCAUGCCGUAAACGAUGUGUGUUAGACGUUGGAAAUUUAUUUUCAGUGUCGCAGCGAAAGCGAUAAACACACCGCCUGGGGAGUACGACCGCAAGGUUAAAACUCAAAUAAAUUGACGGGGACCCGCACAAGUAGUGGAGCAUGUGGUUUAAUUCGAAGAUACGCGCAGAACCUUACCAACACUUGACAUGUUCGUCGCGACUUUAAGAGAUUAGAGUUUUCGGUUCGGCCGGACGAAACACAGGUGCUGCAUGGCUGUCGUCAGCUCGUGUCGUGAGAUGUUGGGUUAAGUCCCGCAACGAGCGCAACCCUCACUUUUAGUUGCCAUCAUUUAGUUGGGCACUCUGAAAGAACUGCCAGUGAUAAGCUGGAGGAAGGUGGGGAUGACGUCAAGUCCUCAUGGCCCUUACGUGUUGGGCUACACACGUGCUACAAUGGUAUCUACAACAGGAAGCAAGACUGCGAGGUCAAGCAAAUCCUUAAAAGAUACCUCAGUUCGGAUUGCACUCUGCAACUCGAGUGCAUGAAGCUGGAAUUACUAGUAAUCGUGGAUCAGCGUGCCACGGUGAAUGCGUUCCCGGGUCUUGUACACACCGCCCGUCACACCAUGGGAGUUGGUUCUACCUUAAGGCAAGGUUUAAAACCCUUGACCACGGUAUAGUCAGCGACUGGGGUGAAGUCGUAACAAGGUA
Molecule: ribosomal RNA, 1432 nt
Filed under: uncultured Pelagibacterales bacterium
Lineage: Bacteria; Pseudomonadati; Pseudomonadota; Alphaproteobacteria; Candidatus Pelagibacterales
Description: bacterial SSU rRNA
Rfam family: Bacterial small subunit ribosomal RNA
Source: RNAcentral